RNAcentral lists this unclassified non-coding RNA (236 nucleotides) under plant metagenome. RNAcentral describes it as "partial contains small subunit ribosomal RNA, internal transcribed spacer 1, and 5.8S ribosomal RNA". The record is from RNAcentral.
UUUCCGUAGGUGAACCUGCGGAAGGAUCAUUACUGAGUGAGGGCCCCUCGGGGUCCAACCUCCCACCCGUGUUUAACGAACCUUGUUGAUUCGGCGGGCCCGCCUCACGGCCGCCGGGGGGCAUUUGCCCCCGGGCCCGCGCCCGCCGAAGCCACCUGUGAACGCUGUCUGAAGUAUGCAGUCUGAGACAAUUAUUAAAUUAAUUAAAACUUUCAACAACGGAUCUCUUGGUUCCG